Molecule: long non-coding RNA, 1538 nt
Organism: Solea senegalensis (Senegalese sole)
Lineage: Eukaryota; Metazoa; Chordata; Actinopteri; Pleuronectiformes; Soleidae
Exons: 2
Source: RefSeq, a predicted model, not a curated record
AGGCAUGCUGGCGGAAAUAAAAAAGAUUCUUUAUGCCAAGUGUGAUAUUCUGUACAAUGUGAACAAAAUGUUUUGUGUGUGGGAUUUCUCGAAGUCUGAUUCAUUUUAACAUCUUUUCUAGUUUUAGUCCAGCGACCAAUAUAUUGUAAGUUAAGUGUACGUGGCUAUGUAUGAGAUUUUACUGCUUUGUUGUUGUCGCCUGAGAAGAGCUUCCGCAUUUGUGUUGUUUCCAAGACAACGUCUGAGCAGCAGUACUUUUCAGACCGGACGCAACAGUGACUCAGUAUCUGAAAACAGGAGUUAGGCUUUCCCCUCCAUAGAUGGAGACAGCUCUUGGGCAGCAAAAGGGAAGCAGUUUGAUGCUGAGCCAGCACUUCCUCUGUUAAAGGGGACUUGUCAUUGCAGAUGUCAUAGACCAACAUAAUACCCUGUGAAGGAAAAACAAACAAUGUCCAUAACCUGACAUGCAACACACACACCGAGGGAUAAAGUGUGGAAAGAAGAGUUGACUCACCAUAGCCCCUCUGUAGUAAGCUGUGGUGAUGGUUCGAAACCUCUCUUGUCCUGCAGUGUCCCUAGAAGAAGGAGAAAUCAUAUCAGAUUGUAGGUGGAUGGACAGUUGUGUCAAUCUCAGAUUUAAAAAGAGAAAAAGGUCGUAUCACACUCACCAAAUCUGAAGUUUGACUCUCUUCCCAUCCAGCUCUAUUGUUCUGAUUUUGAAGUCUAUUCCUGAAUUCAAAUAAACAAUCACAGACAUGGACUCUAUAAGUUGAUUCUUGCUGCUUUGAUUAGUUAAGAGGUUAUCACAUCAUGUCUCACAUUUCUACAAAACAAACAUCUCCCUGCACAGUGGCUGUCCUUUGUUAUCUAAUCAAAAAUGUAUGUUCUGAACUCUUCAAACCAUGCAAGUAUGUUUGAUGUUUUCGAUAUGCUUCGAUCCAAAACAAGGUAUAAAUGUGAGUAUAUAUAUUCAUCUAUGCAAAUAACACUGCAUACCAUCAUGGACAUAGAAAAGAGAGAGUGAAAAUAAAUUAUUCAUAAAUUAAACUGGGGUACGGGUAUAAAUCUAACCCUCACUAAAUGGGUUCUUGGUUAUUUCUAUGAGAUCUGUACAUGUGUUAUUACUAACAAGCGUCAAAGUGUCAAUAUGCAUCACAAAGUAAUUUCCAAAGGCAGUAUAUGAGGGCUGAGUUUUGGAGAAUUCUGCUUCUUACCCAAUAGAAUGAAACGAUCAACAAUGUGAUUCAUUUUAUUGUUUGAAUUUUCAAUAAAUACAUUUUUCGCUAUUAACUGUAUGGGUAGAAUGUGUAAGAAAAUACUUAACAGUUUCCCACGACAAGUCCAAAUAGAAACAAGAUGAAGGUCACGUGACCAAAAGCUUAGCAUCAAAGAAGUCACUGCAUUAAAUGUGCUUAUGGUGUAUUUCCUUUUGAUAAUUCUGUUUUUUGCUCUCACUGCAACAUAUCCUCUCGUCACAAAUGUGCUGUGCUUUUCAAAAGUGUGUCCUUUGUUAUCUUAAAUAAAUGUAUAAUCUGUCA